GAAAUCUCCAAAUAUGUACAGUAAAAAUACUUUAUAUUCAGCAUGGUAGUAGCCUGAGAGGUCCUUAACACAGGUACAUUGGUCUUGGCUUGGAACUAUUGAUAAAUCAGUUUUUAUGGCAGUCCAAACAUGGAGAAACUGUCUUUUUCAACGUCCAAUUAUAGGGCUUUUACUUUGAAGAAAUCUCCAAAACUGUACAGUAAAAAUGUUUCAAAUUUAGCAUAGUAGUAGUCAGAGAGGUCCUUAACACACGUGCAUUGGUCUUGCUCUGGAACCUUUGAUCAAUCUGUUUUUAUUGCAUUUCAAAUAUGGAGUCAGGCUAAUUAUCAAGUCUAUAUUUGACCUAUUUACAAGUAGAAGAAAGAGAUAAAUAUAACAAGUGUUAACACCAAUCAGGAAAUUGAGUCCAUCUUGAACAAUUGUGGCAAUUUAUUGAGAGCACUGUCCAGCUGUACACAAACAUCUGGGUAAAGCACAUCCCAUCUCUGCAGCUCACUGGUCCUGAGCGCUUUGUUGGUGUGACACUUGUUUUAGUGAGUCCACCUCUUCACUCUGCAGCUACUGAUGCAUCCGGCUUCGCUGGCCUAGUAACUGGGGAUACUCUUCCUUAAAAUAAGAGUUGAAUGUUUAACAAUGGUGCAAUCGAGAAGCUGCCCUAAAAUAAGGCUCUGGGGAGGAACUAAAUUGGACGCAAUCAGUGAAUUUUAAGGAUUUAAGGCUUACUAUUUUUAAAAUAGUAACACAUCUGAAGGCAAUAAAACUGAGUAAGUUUUCUUUGAAACACAGAUUCUUGCCAACAUUAGAUCCUCUCGUCCUUUGACCUCUUCAGUUUGACCAUUCAAUUCAGGAUUGAAGUGGGACAAAUAAUCAUUAGGUUAAUUAUUACCUCUACCUCGAAGUCUGUAUUUUUUGAAUUGUCAUUAUGUAUUGCAUUGUGAUCAACAAAUAAUCCCACUUCAUUGGAGGUAUGUAUGGUUCUUAAAUGAAAUAAAUAUGUGUACAUCAAUGGUUGCAAAUUAACCAUAAACAUCAAAUGAAAUAAACAGCAUUAAAUACAUCUGUAAUAGCAGAUUAACAACUUAAACACAGUUAAAUAUAAUUAAAUCAAUGGUUUGGUAGAGAUGUGACGACGUUUACUUUGCGUCUCCUAAACUGUCUCUGCCCUGCGGUCACUGCAGUCUAUUUCAGGCUGAGGGAAAAACAUGUUCUGGUUAUUUAAAUUCAAAUCAGUUACAUAGUAUUGCAAUCUCAAGGAAGAAAUCUAUCAAUUCUGUCAAUAAAAACCACCAACUGUCAAUAUUAAUUUUUUUUCUUGCAUGGGAUACAAGCUAUUUAAAGGAACAUUAAGAUAUUACAGGAUAUGUCCAAGCUACAGAAGCUGAAUGUCGUCCUCCUUCAGCUUGAAGGCGCUUCCUCCUGCUCCAUAAAACAAGACUACAUUUAAAUUGAGUUCACGAUUACACAAAACAAGCAAAGAAAGUUCUGUUUAUUUAUUCUGUCACAUUAUUGACAUAGUGAUAUUUCUCAACUUUGGAUUCUUUGCAAAAUUAAAACACUCUUGUUAAACUAUGCACAACUUAAUCAAAAUCAUAUUUUGUUACCAUACGACACACACGUUGCAUACGACUUUAUUCAGUUUGUACCACACUCACUUUUAGCAAUUGUACUUCUCAGCGAUUAGAGCAGUGUAAGUGAAGUACACAGAGAAAGUGCAAAACAUCGGCCACAUUUGCAGUACGAUAAGCACAAUGUCUGCUCACCCUUUUUGCAAAACAAUACAGUGAUUUGGCAAAACACUAAAAGACAUGUGGGUACAUUACACACCACAUGACACCACACAAGACCAAUGCAGCAGACUGAGGAUUAUAUAGUUUAUUUUUGCCCACUCAAAUGUGUCAACAUGGCGAUUCAAAACAACAAACAACUCCCAGUUUAUAUGCAUCAGACAAACAUAACAUUGUAUCCUGUGCAGUCUGUCUGCAAUUCAGCAAUUCUGUGUUUGCACACCUGAUCGGUCUGUCAAACCCAUGUGUCAAUUAGUUAGGUAAUUUGACAAUCAGUGCUUUGCAAUUGCAAGGAAGUGACAUCUUGAUAUACCUCCGUGUGUAAUAUAUACAACUGUGUUUAGUGUUUUGCAAUAGUCAAUCGUAAAAAGCUGUAAAGUGCAUUAACACGGAGCACAAUCAGAAAAAGAACAGUACCGUAUUUUCCGCACUACAAAGGCGCUCUUAAAAGCCUUUCAUUUUCUCAAAAAAACCCGUAUACCCCGUCCACAUCCAGGGGUCCUGAUUCCGCGGUGGAAUCAUCUCCGAGUGACUCCUCUGUGGAGCUGGAGGGCUGGGUGCGUUCGUGGGAAAACCCCCAUGGUGUCCCAUCAGCGGACAUAUCCUGGCUAAAAGAGGACACAGAACGAGGCCUGUUCACCGCUGUUCAGAUAUUUAAACACAAAUCUGGUCAGUUAAAGAGGCGACGGGUGAUCAAAUCCGACCGGAUGUGGUUUUAUCCACCUGAACCGCCUCGCUAUGUGAAGGGAGCUGCGCCAACACACCUUUUUUUCCGGAGCCGUGUAUUUGUGUGGCGUCCGGUUGGAGUUUGGCGAUACUCCCUGAAGUGCCCUCGAGGGGAUGACUACGUCGGGCACGGGAGGGAUGUGCACCUCUACAAGUCUGGCUUUCACCACCGGGUACGUCACAUUUGAUGUGUCCGGCUGGUACACAUCGGUCACUGAGGUCCUGUGCUGUGGACCCUGCACAAAGGCCACCAGGAGCGGAGGAGGUGGCACAGUGGGCCGAUGGCUCGCAUGGGACCGUGCUAUUCGAUCUCAACUUAGUGAGGCUCAUCAAGCUCGGUUCCCUGCCGUCCGCACCAGCAAGUGGUCAAGAAGCUGUGUGGGGAAGGUCGCGGUUCACCAGCAUUGGGAACGAGCACUCACAGAUAGUGACCUUUGUGCUGACUUGUGAGGAGUCCACUCCGCGGCUCACGCCCAUGUGCAGUGGAGUCAUGGAGAGGUUCCGGCUGGCCAGUCAGCCUGUCCAGAAGCUCCUCUACGUGGACCGUGGGUGUUGCCGGUCUCAGGGCACAACAGGAGUGCGGCUGGACAUCUUCCACUGGAUCCACAGAUUUGACGCGGAGUCCCACUGUAAGUAUGCAGUGUUCAAGUCUGCUCUAGCUGGGGCAGUUUUGGCCCACAACCGCCCGGACCUGGAGCUGCUCAUGAAAGCCAUCAGAGCCAAGAACCCGGAGAGUCUCGGACGAGGACAUUGUCCGCUGCCACAUCUCCAGGGAUCAGCUCAAGCACCAUGUGAGGAGGGUUACACUCGGUGCUCAGGAGACCUUUCGGCUCAUCCAGCCAUCGAGGAGAUGAAAGGUCCCGUUGGGCUGGACGAGAGCGGAGUUAGCCUCUUCAAAACACCUGAUAUUAAGCGCCCCAUAAAAUAGGUUAUUACAACAUUAAUAUAGAGUAGCAUACAAAGUGAACAUAACACACUGCAUGCAUGUGUAUUUACAGAGGCUAUCGAUGAGAUGUGGGCAGGCCAGCUGGAGUGCAUCCAGGAUCCACCAGGCAUGAACAUGUAUAGGGUGGCGCGUAGCACAACUAUCAAUAAUGUGGACGUGCCCCAUUACAAAUGUCUGCGUGGAAGCAACAGCCUGGAAGGAUUCCACAAAUCGCUGCCACACAUGAUUCCAGGGCCCCAUUGUGCAGCACGGCCCUAUCAGGUUUACCUGAUGAGUGGCAUUGCUCGGUGGAAUUCGGACAGGAGUUUGGACGCCGUGUUUGGUGGCAAAGGACAGAAUCACAGGAAAUACUCUGCGCCGCUCAUUCACCGCCUCAACACCCGCUGUCAGCAGCUGUUUGGCGAGACUGGAGGAGAAUUUCCGGGCCCCCGCCAAUGUUGCUUCCAACGAGUUGCUUGGGUUGGAAUAUUUAUUCAGCCAACGCACGGGUGUAUCCGAACCCUUUUCCCUGGUGGACAUCAUCAAUGAUGGACCUGGUCCAGAGGAGGAGGUGGUUCAGCACGGGCAGCCCGAUCCAGAGGCUGACGAGGCGUACCAGAGCGACGGGGAGGCUGGUGGCAACGUGUUGGAUGCCAUCCUGCCCCACAUUAAUCUCACCAGCGACGAAACUGCAACUCUUCACCCUCCAGCCUCUGGUACAAACCAAAGACCAAGUCACAGCAUAUGCAGCGAGAGCGAACUGGUCCAAAACCGGGCUUUUUAAAGAGCCCAGCCAGCUGCGACCACUGACGAGGGGGUAGAGCGCCGGGUCGCAAUCCUACCUGGAAAACACACACACACACACACACACACACACACACACACACACACACACACACACACACACACACACACACACACACACACACACACACACACACACACGGAAUCAUUAUACGAACCCAGAACUCUGGGGACGUUACACUGAACAACUUGCUCAUUGGAACUUUUAUAUGGCAACUUGUCAACAGGUGGAUGGCUGCAGUCCAAACCCGCUUCCUGGCUUUGAAAAGCUAUAAAAGUUCUGUUCUGGUGGCAAUCAGCCCGACAGAGGACAAGCUGACGCUUUCCACUGAGCAGAGGAACGAGGUCCUUGAAUCCCGGAAUGCUGUGGAGGAGCACGACAAGCAGCCGCAGCAGUUCAACCAGCUGUACAGAAGGAUCCGAUCCUCUGCAAGGCCGGCAUUCCUCUGCCAAAGAUCAACGUCAAAACUGUGCAGGACUUCACCCGGCGUCAGGAGCGCCUCCUGAACAUGAAUCCCACAAAACAGUCCUCUACUGUAACGAAGAUCACCUCCAUUUCAUCUGCUGACCUCCCUCGAGCACUACACCAGCCGUCAGUCCUCCACCACUCUACCCUCUGAUGGAGUACGGGGCCAUCCCCAGCACAGCAGGGACUACGGUGUUGAAGGGAAGGACGGACAUGAUGAUGGCUCUCUUCCGGCCUCUACCACCACUGCAACUCCUGCAACCGCUGGCGGCUGUAAAAAAAAAAUCCUGCCACCUCCACCAUCUCCAGACCUGUACCCUCCAUGUCCAGCUCCGCAGCCGACACGGAGUGCGCUGGCCCCUCCACUCGGCCAAUAUUGCCUGCAAAUCCUCCUGCAUCACUGCCAUCUCUGUCCACAAUGCCUACUGCUUGUGAUUUAAGUUCACCAUCCUGGGCAAGAUCCACGCAGUACAAGCGAAAGAGUAUGGAACAUCCCUCUGCAGUUGGAGUCGAGGUGUCGCGGGUGCACAAACUCCCUCUCUGUACAUGAC
Long non-coding RNA from Gasterosteus aculeatus aculeatus (three-spined stickleback), 5256 nucleotides. The record is from Ensembl. Lineage: Eukaryota; Metazoa; Chordata; Actinopteri; Perciformes; Gasterosteidae.